AUUGAACGCUGGCGGCAGGCCUAACACAUGCAAGUCGAGCGGCAGCGGGAAAGUAGCUUGCUACUUUUGCCGGCGAGCGGCGGACGGGUGAGUAAUGCCUGGGGAUCUGCCCAGUCGAGGGGGAUAACAGUUGGAAACGGCUGCUAAUACCGCAUACGCCCUACGGGGGAAAGCAGGGGACCUUCGGGCCUUGCGCGAUUGGAUGAACCCAGGUGGGAUUAGCUAGUUGGUGGGGUAAUGGCUCACCAAGGCGACGAUCCCUAGCUGGUCUGAGAGGAUGAUCAGCCACACUGGAACUGAGACACGGUCCAGACUCCUACGGGAGGCAGCAGUGGGGAAUAUUGCACAAUGGGGGAAACCCUGAUGCAGCCAUGCCGCGUGUGUGAAGAAGGCCUUCGGGUUGUAAAGCACUUUCAGCGAGGAGGAAAGGUUGAUGCCUAAUACGCAUCAGCUGUGACGUUACUCGCAGAAGAAGCACCGGCUA
Molecule: ribosomal RNA, 484 nt
Filed under: well water enrichment culture
Lineage: Bacteria
Description: bacterial SSU rRNA
Rfam family: Bacterial small subunit ribosomal RNA
Source: RNAcentral